CAGCAGCCGCGGGAAUACGAGGGGGGCAAGCGUUGUUCGGAAUUAUUGGGCGUAAAGGGUGCGUAGGCGGUUUGACAAGUCUUGUGUGAAAUCUCUGGGCUCAACCCAGAGUCUGCGCGGGAAACUGUCGGGCUAGAGGAUGGAGAGGUGAGUGGAAUUUCCGGUGUAGCGGUGAAAUGCGUAGAUAUCGGAAGGAACACCUGUGGCGAAAGCGGCUCACUGGACCAUUUCUGACGCUGAUGCACGAAAGCUAGGGGAGCAAACAGGAUUAGAUACCCCCGUAGUCCCUGUCUCUUAUACA
This 301-nucleotide ribosomal RNA is filed under the name uncultured bacterium. RNAcentral describes it as "partial 16S ribosomal RNA". It matches the Rfam family "Bacterial small subunit ribosomal RNA", at positions 509 to 808 of the family's 1533-position model. The record is from RNAcentral.